ACUUCGGUGCCAUCAGACAUCACUUGGGGAUGUUAGCAGCAGAAAGCCAUUUCCAGUUUUACGCUUAAUCUGAAAAGCCACUCGAGUGUCCCUUGCCCCUCACUCUCCUAAAAUGACUUUCAGAAAACGUGAAAAGAAUCUGGUUUUGAUUUCUUCUGUCAACUGUGACUUGCAGCACAACCCAGGAGUCUCAGCAGAAACAGAAGCAGGUCCACUUCAGCAACAAUGUUGCAGGAGCACAGAACCCCACUCUAAAACACAUGCCAGGAAUAUAAAGAGCACCACACUUUUGUGUGUUUUUAAGCUCAACACAAGGAAAUAGAAAGUUAUUGAGAACACUGACUUUCAACUGCGGCAACUCUGCUUGUUUGA
Molecule: non-coding RNA, 372 nt
Organism: Peromyscus maniculatus bairdii (prairie deer mouse)
Lineage: Eukaryota; Metazoa; Chordata; Mammalia; Rodentia; Cricetidae
Source: RefSeq, a predicted model, not a curated record